This is a non-coding RNA of Leptonychotes weddellii (Weddell seal), 216 nucleotides long. NCBI's taxonomy places the organism in Eukaryota, Metazoa, Chordata, Mammalia, Carnivora, Phocidae. The record is from RefSeq and is a predicted model, not a curated record.
GAUGAGGCAUUAAAGAGAAGGAGGAAUGUCUCAAGGGAGGUGAGCUGGAGGCGAAGCAAGACUGCAAGCUCUUCUUAGCAGGUGGAAGUUUCCCCGGAUCUCAGAUAGCUUCUUUCCAGCAUGGGAUUUGGCACAGCUCCUAGGAAAUGAGGACAACCGAUCAUACAGCCAUAGAGGGGAAGAACUGGAAGGGACCUCAGGCUGUACCAUUUCCAG